GCCCGGAUGGUGGAAUCGGUAGACACAAGGGGUUUAAAAUCCCUCGGCGUUCGCGCUGUGCGGGUUCAAGUCCCGCUCCGGGUACCA
RNAcentral lists this transfer RNA (87 nucleotides) under Salmonella enterica. RNAcentral describes it as "tRNA-Leu". It matches the Rfam family "tRNA". From Rfam's summary of the family: Transfer RNA (tRNA) molecules are approximately 80 nucleotides in length. Their secondary structure includes four short double-helical elements and three loops (D, anti-codon, and T loops). Lineage: Bacteria; Pseudomonadati; Pseudomonadota; Gammaproteobacteria; Enterobacterales; Enterobacteriaceae. The record is from RNAcentral.